UUUUUUUUAGGCAGAAAAUUUGUAACAGAAAGGAACUGCAGAAACAGAACAGUUGCUGCAACACCCUGCAAAGAAGCACAGGAUGGAGACCCACAUGAAGGAAGCAGGAGGAGCAACCAGAACCACAACUGAUGUGAGGAUGAAGGACUGAGUGAAGGGAGAAGAUGGAGUAGAGGCACAGAGGAAAACAUUGUGGGUUGACAAGAGAGGCUCUGUAGGUCUGGGUUGGAGGUGUACGUGGCCUCUGCCAACAACACCAAGGUUGAGCACUCCUGACACCUUGCAGAUUGAUCAAAGGUAAGAUCAAGGUCACUUUAUUUUCAGGAGGCAUUUGCUGUUCACUUUGAGGGAGUCAAGAUUUUACCCUAGGAGAACACAGAUCUGAUUACAUACAUAAUAUUAUAAUAAUAUUUAUAUAUAUAUAUAUAAUUCCUGCAUAAUUUCAGGUUUAUUUCCUUCUUACAUCUCUGGUUUUAUUUAUUUAUUUAUUUGUAAUUUUUCAACAUAGUGCCCAGUCUGUCCUUGCCUUUUGGUGUCCAGAGAGAUGUAGUCUGAUUCCUAAUGUUCUCAGCUUUUUAUUUCUUCAGUGAGGAUAUUUAAAAUCAGAAGAUUAGCCCAAAUGCUAAGA
This 628-nucleotide long non-coding RNA is filed under the name Anas platyrhynchos platyrhynchos (common mallard). RNAcentral's name for it is "lncRNA (ENSAPLG00000022705.1)". The record is from RNAcentral. Lineage: Eukaryota; Metazoa; Chordata; Aves; Anseriformes; Anatidae.